Molecule: ribosomal RNA, 372 nt
Filed under: uncultured Actinomycetes bacterium
Lineage: Bacteria; Bacillati; Actinomycetota; Actinomycetes
Description: bacterial SSU rRNA
Rfam family: Bacterial small subunit ribosomal RNA
Source: RNAcentral
AACGCGAAGAACCUUACCAAGGCUUGACAUGGACCGGAGCUGCAGAAAUGUGGUUCCUGGGGCUGGUACAGGUGGUGCAUGGUUGGAGCGUGGUGAGAUGUUGGGUUAAGCCGCAACGAGCGCAACCCGUCAUGUUGCCAGCGGGUUAUGCCGGGGACAUGGGAGACUGCCGGGGAACGGAGGAAGGUGGGGACGACGAAAAAUGCCCCUUAUGUUGGGCUACGCAUGCUACAAUGGCCGGUACAAUGGGUUGCGAUACUGUGAGGUGGAGCUAACCAAAAAGCCGGAGUGGAUUGGGGUGCAACGACCCCAUGAAGUUGGAAGCUAGUAAGCGGAAGCAUGGCGGUGAAUACGUCCGGGUUGUACACACCG